GCAAUAUUAACAAUGAUUGAAGCAGAGAAUGCAUCCAGAUCAUGAUGUUGAGAACGCUGUGACAUGGUCAUUGGCAAAGGGUGAUUACGAGUCUGAAUUGUCAUGUUCUUGUUGCCACUUGCAAGCCUCAAAAUUGCAGAAUUCACCAAAUUGAUAUACGUCGGCGCUGAAUGCUGACAGGAACUGUUGUGGAGAACUGUGAAUCCAACACUACCAUCUUUAUGCUGGUCAUCCAUUACAACAGCACCAUACCUUGACUGGUACGUCUCAUUCAGGCUAGUAAUAAGAAAUUCACUCAUUGAUAGAAGAGCUGGG
Molecule: unclassified non-coding RNA, 315 nt
Filed under: Hevea brasiliensis (rubber tree)
Lineage: Eukaryota; Viridiplantae; Streptophyta; Magnoliopsida; Malpighiales; Euphorbiaceae
Source: RNAcentral